UCCCCAGUAGCUCAGUGGUAAAGAAUCUGCCUGCAAUGCAGGAGAAACAGGUUCAAUUCCUGGGUCAGGAA
RNAcentral lists this transfer RNA (71 nucleotides) under Bos taurus (domestic cattle). It matches the Rfam family "tRNA". Rfam says of the family: Transfer RNA (tRNA) molecules are approximately 80 nucleotides in length. Their secondary structure includes four short double-helical elements and three loops (D, anti-codon, and T loops). Lineage: Eukaryota; Metazoa; Chordata; Mammalia; Artiodactyla; Bovidae. The record is from Rfam by way of RNAcentral. RNAcentral also lists the same sequence under 5 other names.